Molecule: non-coding RNA, 6432 nt
Organism: Meleagris gallopavo (turkey)
Lineage: Eukaryota; Metazoa; Chordata; Aves; Galliformes; Phasianidae
Source: RefSeq, a predicted model, not a curated record
UUCUUUAGAGUGAUAACUUGUUUAGCUUAACUUUCUUGUAUAUUUCUUAAUUAUAACAUCCAUGUAUUCAUUGAUUGUACACCACUGCAGUUAAAUUGUUGACUAAUUCCUACCUAUGCUUGUAUCUGCUUUACUGUUCAGGUAUUGAGUUGCAUUUCAUAAUUUACAGAUAUCUUAAAAGGAGUGCUGAGGAAUACUUUUUUGGCUGUAGUUGUAAGAGAUUUUCUGUAUGUAGUAAAGCACAACAAUUUUGCUAAAAGAUUUGUCCAAGUACCAUUUUCCAGACAGAACUGUUUAUUCUCACUCACCAUUUUGACCCUUUGCAGGAAGUAAAUACUCAUUUUGUACUGUUGAAACAUUCCUGCCAUCCAGAGUUCUGUGUGCAGAUAACAGUACUGCAUAUUCAGUCACAAGGUCGUGACUUUCAGCCACUUACCCAGAAUUUGUAUCUAAUUUUUUCUUACACAGAUUUCCAGAUCUCAGGCUUGUGUGAUUUUUUUCCAGACAAUGAAUACAUAAUUAUAUGCCUACAAAGGCCUUUUUGUUUGUAUUGUGUUUUCUGUAGUUAUUUGCACUGUAAUUAAAGGCAAAAUAAUUCAAAUUUUAAUUAUGAACUUUGUCAAAACACUGAGAGAUAAUUUGCUAAAUUGGGAGCAAGUUGUUCUCUCUGGAGGGUUGUUAUAGUUGGGUCUGUAUUGCAUGCUAAAGAGAAUUAGUAUAGAUAAUUAUUUAUGAUCAUUUGCCAUUUUUAAUUGUACAUAGGAAAUUGAAAUACUAAAGUUUCCUUAAAGUUCAUGACCAUUAUGUGGUACUUCAAUUUUUCAGUAAUCUCAGGAUAUAAAUUAGUCUUCAGGUAGUUACUGUUACUUCAAAAAAGUCACUUGCUUUAUUCAAUCAGAAAAGAGGCUUUUCAGUAAUCCCACUAAAAUAAAAGGAGUUUGCAAGUUUGUAUUUCUCUAAGCUAGCGAAAUGAGCAUUGAAACUGCAGCCUAUUAUCUCAGCGUUGCUUUUCUUUUAGCUGGGAAAAUCAGUAUGUCUUUACCUUUAGACCUGAUUCCUGAGAUAUCUGUCAAAAUAAUUGCUCAAUCUUAAUUUCGUAUCUCACAGAUGAAGAGUCAGGCAGUCAGCACACCUAGUCAGUUUCUCACCUCAGCAUUUCUCAAAGAACAACACGCUAUUGCUUGCUCAUCUCAGUAGGUACAGUUUGAUCAAAAUAAGAGCAUGACCUCCUCUAGGGAGUGUUAUCACUAAAAUGCACUCAGUCCUAAUGUCUACUGGCAAAAUCUGAGUUUAGAUUUAGCAAAUUAUUUACAUACACAAGCACAGUUAGUUUUCUAACCCUGCUGCAGUAGAACAAGCUCUGAAUAUCAUCAUCCUAUGUACAGUGGUACAGACCUCUAUUGCAGUGUUUCUAAUACCAUAGAGAGUCCCCAGUAGUGAAUGUUGUUGCACAGAAAUCAUGGUUGUCUUUGAUAUUCCAAAUUUAGAGAUGCUUCCAUCUUACCUCACCUGAUUUCACAACACAAAUGACAGUGGUUCCAAAAAUUCCAGCCUUAGGAACCAAAGCAAUUCCUAGCAACCAUCCUAGAGCCUGGGAAGAACACUUCCAGCAUUUUCAACUGGUAUUUCUACUAAUCACCAAUGUGAUUCCAGUCAAGGAAAGUAUCUCUUUCUGCUGCUUUCAAAUGUCUUCUGCUCUUAAAGAUUUAGUAUCCUGUGUCUACCAGCCAAGAGCAACCUCUUAUAGUGAGCUUUUACUCAAUUUGCAAAGGCAGCCAAAAAACAUGUCUACACUUGGAUACGUUGCUCUGCUCAUAAGUACUUUCCAUGUACUGAUUUAUGGAUGGAAAAGAGCUUUUGAAGAAGAAUAUUACAGAUUUUACACACCGCCAAAUUUUGUUCUUGCCCUUGUUCUGCCUUCCAUUGUAAUUCUAGGUAAGAUCAUUUUACUUCUGCCAUGCGUAAGUAGGAAACUAAGGAGAAUUAGAAGAGGAUGGGAGAAAAGCCAUGCAAUAGAAGAAACAAGUGGGUCCGUUCCACAUUUCUCUCCAGAAAGAAUAACUGUGAUGUAAUGGUAGAUCACAAUUUGUUAGUACUAUUGCAAAUGUUUGAGUUUUUCUUUGUGUUUUUUUUGUCUUGUAUUUUCAGGAGUUUAUGUAAUAUAUGUAUAAAGUCAGUGUGGACUUGCUUGGCAUACAUACAAGCCCUCAAUGGAUUUAUGAGAAAUUUAUAAGUAGGAAAUUACUAUUUUGGAUAACUACAGAAAUACUUUGUUUUGAAUUACAGGGCAGAUAAUCAUGAAAUCAGAUUUUUUUUUUUAAUGCUCUUUUGCACAGUUGUAUCACAACAAUAUUUCCUUAUAACAGUGCUUUUGAGAUAUUUCUUUGACUCAGUGAGUGUGUCAGAGUGCUAUGUCUUAGUACCAUACUUUACCACAUCUGUCAUUUAAACCAUGCUUCUGGGUUACUGAAUUCAGAAUAUUGACUAAUAGAGUUAAUUCAGAUUUUGAAGCAACUGAAACUAGUUAGUAAUGUGUUGCACAUUUUUAUGUUUUUCCAAAUAUUCCAUAUUUAAAUAUGCAAAACCAAUUUCAGAUAUAGCUUAAGUAUGCAUCUUGUAAACAGACAAUAUUGUACCUUUUGGGACUUUUUUGAAGAGAAUCGCAUGGAAUUUUAAACUUUAGCAUCUCUUUAUUUGUGUAUGUCAUUAUAAUGAGUAAUCAAAGCAUUAGGCAUGAGUAGGUAGACUUGCAGAUACAUAUGCAAGCAACUACUUUUUGAUGGAAUAAUUAUUUUGAAAUACCAGAAAAUAUUUUAAAACAAAAAUACUGAUAAAUCUGCAACAAUAAAAAUCCACUUUCACUGUGAAACUUCCAGCAUGUUGGUACAGCAAGGAAGCAUCACAUUACUCAUGUUCUGUAUGUUUUUACAUUGGAGUUUCAGUUACAUAUGAAUGUCCCAAUUUAUCCUACAGUCUCUGUAUUUACACAAAAUGAUACUAUCUUCUAUUUUUAUAUAUAGUCUUACUUUUACAACAGAUGUUUCUGGGAUAUGCCUGAAUUUUUGAGAAACAAAAUGAUUAUUCUCAAACUUAAAAAUGAAAUUUUACCUCUAAGACUUGACAUCUGUGUUUUCUGUGGGCUUCAGAAGAACAUUCAGAAUGAUUUAUUACUAUUACUUUGUCAGGUUUUACUCUAACAAAAUAGCUAAACCCAAUUUAUGUACCUUCAGUCUACUCUUAAUUAGCAAAAUCUUUAUUUUAAUGAAUGAGAAUUGGUCCGAAUUUUCCUUGGAUAUAUGAAAUUAUAUUUUUCUUAGCUAUUUUUGCACUGGAUCUCUAAGUUUCUUAGCUGAAUCUUCACUUACUAUUUCUUUGCAAGCAUUUGUCAUCAAUAUGAUACCUGUCAGAAGUUGAAUUUAUCCUUAAAUAUCAUCAAUUCUUUGAAUCUCAGUACUUCUACAAUGAAACCAACAGCUCCACGGAAAUAGAAUCUAGAAUCAAAUUCUACUCCCAGUUACACUAGGCUAAAUCUGAAAAGUUAGUUAGUUGUUCUUAAUUUCAUUUCAAACUACAAAAAUGUACUACAAUUUUAUUUUGAUUGUAGUACUUGCAUUCUUCAAACAUCAAGUCUGUGUAUGUUCAGGAUUUGUUGCAAAUCAAGAGACAGCUGGAUCAUUCUAAUUCCAAGUGUGUUCACCAAGGUAGUAAUGUUACUGUUCCAUUUCCUGUAUGCAGCUAUUUCAAUGACAAAUGUGAUACAUGAGCCCAAUACUGUUUUAUCAAACCAGAUAUUAAGCAAAAAAAAAUGUUGUUAUUGCAUAUAGACAGGAGCCUAAGCUAAUAGGAAUCCAAUUUUCUCAUAAAAAUAGAGAACAAAUGUCAUUUACAACUGCUAAAUUACUUUGCCUGUGUGUAAAUGAAUUUUAGUUACAGAAAGCUGUGUAUUUUUGGAAGGCUUGCGGGAUAACCUAUAACUGAAUUUCCUAGCCAAUGUGUGUUUUUUUUUCUAUUCCAUUAUUACAGACAAACUGAAGAAAGCUUAGGCAGUUUUGCUCCAUUGCUUUGAAUAAAUUUAAUUACAGAAUUAGCACAAAAAGUUCAACUGAUACAACUAUUCUCUUGGUUCUAAUUACUCACAUACACGGGUGUUUGCAGGAAUAUUUGCUUGUGAGUUGUCUGAAAGGCAGUUAAUCUUCACAAACCCAUGGCAUUGUUUAUGUAGAAUUAUUUCAACUCUUUGUUAUUAAUUUCAUGCUAGAGAAAACAGCAUAUAUGAUUGAUAUUAAAAUUCUCCAAGACUUUUCGUAUUUUAAUGAGAUAAAUACUGUGCUAUGUUCUGUCCCAGUUCUGUGCAUGAAACCUAAUUAAAGUCACUAGAAUUGAAGUGUAACUGAAAGUAGAAUUUCCUUCCUUUGAACAAAUUUAGGCUAGAAACCAUUAUUGUUGACAAUUUCCAAAUUAAAUAUGCUGCUGUUAUUUUUAUAGUAAUUAUACACUUCUGCAGGAUAUAUAAUUAUCAUUCACAUCUAAUUCUUGUCUGAUGCAGUAGUGAUAAUGAUGCAGAACUAAGAUACUCUACUAGUUGAACCUUACGCCAAAGUCAAUAUAUGUUGUAAUAUAUCAUGCAGCCAUUCACAGUGUGUACAGAAAUGUAUUUGCCCUCUAUCCUAUGCAGAGUUAUUUCAUCUUUAGACUUCUUUAGGAAUGUUAAAACUUAAAUUUUGAACUGACAGAAGUGUCUGGAGGGAGUAGUAAUGUGGUGUUCCUUUCUUCAAACUACUUGUGUUGAAAAUCAAAAAUGUGGUUUAAUUUUACUUGAAAGGUUAAAAUACUGAAGUAUUAAUAAAUAGAUAAUAUUUUUAGACAAAAUAUGUGAAGAUAUUUUGUUAAGUAUUUGUGCUAUAACAUGACAUACGGUUUCCAGUUAGGCCGUGUAUUUAUUUCUAGCUUGGAAUAAGAUGACCUGUUGUUUAAUCUUGUGUAGUGUUCUUUAUUGUAAGGACCAAUUAAUAAGAUGCUGUAAAUCUGAAAAUAAAAUGACACUCAUGCGUUUAUUACACAUGCAUAUGUUCAGUCACAUCAGGAAACUAUUCAUAUGAUUAAUUACAUUGGUUUCUGUGGGAGGACUUGAGUAAGGAGUUACUGGAAAGACACCUGAGGCUAAAAGUUCAGUUUCGGUUGCCUAAAUCUACUCAAAUCAAAUCAUCUAGACUCUUCAGUUACUUAGGAGAAUAUACAUGUAUUUUGAGGAAUAGGCUGCUAUAAAAAUAUUUUCUCUGUAACAUUAUAUAAAUCAUUUACUGCUGGUAGGGAUGCCCUGCCAAAUGUGAAAAUAACCUUCACUUCUCUUAGAGUUAAAUAAAAACAAAAAUGUUGCUUAAUAUGUGAUGCAGAGCUUUACAUAUUAUGCUAGAAAAUAGAAACCUCUGUAUUUAGCAACAAGAUGUUUGUUUUCUAUGGAUGUUAAGGUAUUUCUUGAUGUUGUUAAAAAUGCAGUUCUAUUGCAGAUUCCAUAUUUGUCUUUAAUUUUAUGUUACAAUUCCAUUUACUGUGGCAACUAUGUACAAGUUAACUAAGUCCUCAUGUUCUUGAAUUACUUAGAGAUUAAUUAUUUUGAAAUUCAGUUUUGCAAGUUGUUUACAUAUGUAGCUUGCGGUAACAGUUGUUGUGAAUUGGUGCCAUUUUUAGCAUUUUGUUCCAGCUUUGUGCAUAAUGUGAUGUGCCAACAUGAGAAAGAAAGUACAUUUGUAUUUUUAUUUGGCAUUAAUUGGCUAUAAAGUAUUGUGUCUAUAAACAAUUAGCUGUACAUGUUGCCCAACUAGCACUAAGGGAGAUUACUGAUUAAUAUAAGGCAAAAAAUUCCCAAGUGAAUAUAGACUUCACAGAUGUGACUAUAGUUAGGAAAUGAUUUUCCUCUGAAUGUUAUAAAAUCAAAGUAAGAUAUAUCAGCUGCAUAAAGAUUAGAUUGAGAUUUAAGUGUGGUAUUUUCAGCUGUAGCAAUGAAUUUAUGCAGUGGUAGUAGAUGCAUAUGCAUAGUUCCUUUCAGAUAGUACAUUUCACAAGUUUUGGAUUUCUUGGAUGUUCAUUUGGUGGUAUUUUGUACAAAUAAGUAAAGUUGCAGUACUGAUAUUGUAUCAUUAUAUGAUACUGCUUGAAUUAAUUAGAUUGCCACCUGUUUAACAAGUGACACACAACUGACAUGAAUGGUCAUCUUUAUUAUAUAUUGCUUUUCAUGCCUCGCUGGCAGUGUCUUGCAGUGAACAUAGUUUGUCUCCCAUAUGCAAUAUUUUCCUGGUAUUCUCUCUGCAGUUAUUUGUCAGGUUUUUUCUGUGCUCUCUGAACAGGGCUAUUAUAAACUGUUAGCAAAACGCUUUUACCUAUUUUUCCAUAGACUCUGAUUUACACAAAAAUCAAUAAAAAAAAUUAAUGUCA